GGGUGAUUAGCUCAGUUGGCUAGAGCGUUUGCUUGACGUGCAAGAGGCCACAGGUUCGAGUCCUGUAUCACCCA
Molecule: transfer RNA, 74 nt
Filed under: bacterium
Lineage: Bacteria
Also listed under: 3 other names
Description: tRNA-Val
Rfam family: tRNA
About the family: Transfer RNA (tRNA) molecules are approximately 80 nucleotides in length. Their secondary structure includes four short double-helical elements and three loops (D, anti-codon, and T loops). Further hydrogen bonds mediate the characteristic L-shaped molecular structure. tRNAs have two regions of fundamental functional importance: the anti-codon, which is responsible for specific mRNA codon recognition, and the 3' end, to which the tRNAs corresponding amino acid is attached (by aminoacyl-tRNA synthetases). tRNAs cope with the degeneracy of the genetic code in two manners: having more than one tRNA (with a specific anti-codon) for a particular amino acid; and 'wobble' base-pairing, i.e. permitting non-standard base-pairing at the 3rd anti-codon position.
Source: RNAcentral